Non-coding RNA from Mariniradius saccharolyticus AK6, 414 nucleotides. It matches the Rfam family "Bacterial RNase P class A". Rfam says of the family: Ribonuclease P (RNase P) is a ubiquitous endoribonuclease, found in archaea, bacteria and eukarya as well as chloroplasts and mitochondria. Its best characterised activity is the generation of mature 5'-ends of tRNAs by cleaving the 5'-leader elements of precursor-tRNAs. Cellular RNase Ps are ribonucleoproteins. The record is from Rfam. NCBI's taxonomy places the organism in Bacteria, Pseudomonadati, Bacteroidota, Cytophagia, Cytophagales, Cyclobacteriaceae.
AGUGCAAGCCGACUUGUCGCUGGCCAUUCCGAAUUCUUUCGGAAUUGGAAAGAGGAAAGUCCGGGCAACAUAGAGCGCCAUACUUCCUAACAGGAAGGCAGCUUGUUGGCGACGACAAGCUGACAGACAGUGCCGCAGAAAAUAUACCGCCCCGAUCUCAUUUGGGAUUGGGGUAAGGGUGAAAAGGUGGAGUAAGAGCCCACCGCCCCAACAGCGAUGAAGGGGGCACGGUAAACCUUAUGGGUUGAAAGACCAAAUAGGUUCCGCCCUGGGACUUGUUCCAGACAAGGUUGCUCGCCUUGAUGCGGAACGGGUAGGUCGAUUGAGCGCUGGUGUAAACCUGCGCCUAGAUAGAUGGCAGGUAAAUCCCCAAAAAGGGAGGAACAGAACCCGGCUUAUAGGCUUGCACUUUUU